GGCAGUGAUUUUGAAAUUCGGGUUUAGACAAAAAGAUAUUUCAAGCUCCUGAAGAACAAGUUUGAAGGAUUCAGAGCAGAGAAUUGCACCCUGGCAUGAUGCCUAUGCCAGCUGGACUGUGUGAUUUUUGUUCUUUAGUAGAAGGAUAACAUGACAUAGCAGGAAUAAUACUGCCUUUUCUUUCUGGCAUGGAUCAAGAGAAAAGAAAAUACAAGAAAACAGACAGAAGCAAGGCAAGGUACUUCUAUGGAAGGGUGAGCCCUCACAGAUGGAGCAAUGGGGCGCGCACACCUGAACAAGGGAGGGGAAGGAGUUCUUAUCCCUGAUGCAUGUGACCCCUGCUGCUGUGUCCUUCCCCUAUUGGCUAAGGCUUCUGACAGCUUUGGAGAUUGUGACAUUGGAAUAAAGGAAAAACGUACAGGACUCAUGAAGCGCUGAAAUGUUCACAAAUAUCAAGCAAAAGUCAAUGAAAUUUAUUUUGAGCUAUUUACAUCAUUUAAUAAUUGAGCAAGGUAUACUCCUAUGAACAAAAUUUGGAGCAUGUUUGUCUCUCUCUGCCUGGCGUCUUCAGAAUUUGGAAACUAGUUGUCAGGAGUUAACUUUUAUGUGACAAGCUUUACUAGGUCAGGAGCCUAUCGCUGUUUAUAUUCUCUGCAAAGUUUUAAUUGUGAAAAAGGAUUUGAGAGUCAUGGAAAUUUAUUUUGAGCUAUUUACAGCAUUUAAUAAUUGAGCAAGGUAUACUCCUAUGAACAAAAUUUGGAGCAUGUUUGUCUCUCUCUGUCUGCCUGGCAUCUACAGAAUUUGGAAACUAGUUUCGUUCCCAGAUUUCCUAAACUUUCCAGAGAAAAUGGUCUUCUCCCUGGCUCAGCAAGAAGAUGAACUUUAAACACUGAGAAACUGGUCAUCUCCCUGGCUCAACCAGAAGAUGAACUUUAAACACUACUCUCAAUGACUUGAUGUUCCCAUCACUACUCCUGUCAUAAAGGGAGGGGACUCAGAUAUUGAGAAUUUUAUGAUAGUGUGAACUGUCUGCUGUCAGCCAGGAGGGCAGAGCUGAAAUUUAUUGCCACAUCACAUGAAGCAUAGAACAGACUCCACUACUCCUUGAGAUUCAAAACUUUGCCUCUCACAAAGUUACCUUUUAUUUUCCUCUUGUUUGUCACUCAUCUCCCCUAGUGUGCUCUUUUUAUUUCUUUUACUAUUAAUAAUAAAAUCUGUGGAUGACUGUA
Molecule: long non-coding RNA, 1229 nt
Filed under: Homo sapiens (human)
Lineage: Eukaryota; Metazoa; Chordata; Mammalia; Primates; Hominidae
Description: long intergenic non-protein coding RNA 320
Source: RNAcentral